Molecule: ribosomal RNA, 1287 nt
Filed under: metagenome
Description: bacterial SSU rRNA
Rfam family: Bacterial small subunit ribosomal RNA
Source: RNAcentral
UAGCUAGUUGGUGAGGUAACGGCUUACCAAGGCGACGAUCUGUAGCGGGUCUGAGAGGAUGAUCCGCCACACUGGAACUGGGACACGGUCCAGACUCCUACGGGAGGCAGCAGUGGGGAAUUUUGGACAAUGGGGGCAACCCUGAUCCAGCCAUGCCGCGUGAGUGAAGAAGGCCUUCGGGUUGUAAAGCUCUUUCGGCCGGGAAGAAAUCGCAUGGGCCAAUACCCUGUGUGGAUGACGGUACCGGAAUAAGAAGCACCGGCUAACUACGUGCCAGCAGCCGCGGUAAUACGUAGGGUGCGAGCGUUAAUCGGAAUUACUGGGCGUAAAGCGUGCGCAGGCGGUUUUGUAAGACAGGCGUGAAAUCCCCGGGCUCAACCUGGGAACUGCGUUUGUGACUGCAAGGCUAGAGUACGGCAGAGGGGGGUGGAAUUCCACGUGUAGCAGUGAAAUGCGUAGAGAUGUGGAGGAACACCAAUGGCGAAGGCAGCCCCCUGGGUCGAUACUGACGCUCAUGCACGAAAGCGUGGGUAGCAAACAGGAUUAGAUACCCUGGUAGUCCACGCCCUAAACUAUGUCAACUAGGUGUUGGGUGGGUAAAACCAUUUAGUACCGUAGCUAACGCGUGAAGUUGACCGCCUGGGGAGUACGGCCGCAAGGUUAAAACUCAAAGGAAUUGACGGGGACCCGCACAAGCGGUGGAUGAUGUGGAUUAAUUCGAUGCAACGCGAAAAACCUUACCUACCCUUGACAUGCCAGGAACUUGCCAGAGAUGGCUUGGUGCCCGAAAGGGAGCCUGGACACAGGUGCUGCAUGGCUGUCGUCAGCUCGUGUCGUGAGAUGUUGGGUUAAGUCCCGCAACGAGCGCAACCCUUGUCGUUAAUUGCCAUCAUUUAGUUGGGCACUUUAGCGAGACUGCCGGUGACGAACCGGAGGAAGGUGGGGAUGACGUCAAGUCCUCAUGGCCCUUAUGGGUAGGGCUUCACACGUCAUACAAUGGUCGGUACAGAGGGUCGCCAAGCCGCGAGGUGGAGCCAAUCCCAGAAAGCCGAUCGUAGUCCGGAUUGCAGGCUGCAACUCGCCUGCAUGAAGUCGGAAUCGCUAGUAAUCGUGGAUCAGCAUGUCACGGUGAAUACGUUCCCGGGUCUUGUACACACCGCCCGUCACACCAUGGGAGCGGGUUCCGCCAGAAGUAGGUAGCCUAACCGCAAGGAGGGCGCUUACCACGGCGGGGUUCGUGACUGGGGUGAAGUCGUAACAAGGUAGCCGUAGGGGAACCUGCGGCUG